AGAGUUUGAUCAUGGCUCAGGAUGAACGCUAGCGACAGGCCUAACACAUGCAAGUCGAGGGGCAGCACGGUGUAGCAAUACACGGGUGGCGACCGGCGCACGGGUGAGUAACGCGUAUGCAACCUGCCUACUACAAGGGGAUAACCCGUUGAAAGACGGACUAAUACCCUAUAACACAGGGAAUCCGCAUGGAUAUAUUUGUUAAAGAUUAUCGGUAGUAGAUGGGCAUGCGUUCCAUUAGCUUGUUGGUGAGGUAACGGCUCACCAAGGCAACGAUGGAUAGGGGAACUGAGAGGUUGAUCCCCCACACUGGAACUGAGACACGGUCCAGACUCCUACGGGAGGCAGCAGUGAGGAAUAUUGGUCAAUGGACGAGAGUCUGAACCAGCCAAGUCGCGUGAAGGAAGACGGCCCUACGGGUUGUAAACUUCUUUUGUAAGGGAAUAAAUAGUCUUACGCGCUAAGACGUUGCAGGUACCUUACGAAUAAGGAUCGGCUAACUCCGUGCCAGCAGCCGCGGUAAUACGGAGGAUCCGAGCGUUAUCCGGAUUUAUUGGGUUUAAAGGGUGCGCAGGCGGCAUGUUAAGUCGGCGGUGAAAUUUUGCAGCUCAACUGUAAAAGAGCCUUCGAAACUGGCAAGCUUGAGUGUGGAUGAAGUAGGCGGAAUUUGUGGUGUAGCGGUGAAAUGCAUAGAUAUCACAAAGAACACCGAUUGCGCAGGCAGCUUACUAAACCAUAACUGACGCUCAGGCACGAAGGCGUGGGGAUCAAACAGGAUUAGAUACCCUGGUAGUCCACGCAGUAAACGAUGAUUACUCGCUGUUUGCGAUACACAGUAAGCGGCUUAGCGAAAGCGUUAAGUAAUCCACCUGGGGAGUACGUUCGCAAGAAUGAAACUCAAAGGAAUUGACGGGGGCCCGCACAAGCGGAGGAACAUGUGGUUUAAUUCGAUGAUACGCGAGGAACCUUACCCGGGCUUGAAAUGCAUCUGACAGGAGCAGAGACGCUCUCUCCCUUCGGGGAGCCUCUACAGGUGUUGCAUGGCUGUCGUCAGCUCGUGUCGUGAGAUGUUCGGUUAAGUCCGCUAACGAGCGCAACCCUCGCUGUGUGUUACAAGUGUCACACGGUACUGCUGAUAUUAAGUCGGAGGAAGGUGGGGAUGACGUCAAGUCAGCAUGACCUUUAUAUCCAGGGCUACACACACGCUACAAUGGCCAGUACAAUGGGUUGCCAAGCCGCGAGGCGGAGCCAAUCCUAAAAAGCUGGCCUCAGUUCAGAUUGCAGUCUGCAACUCGACUGCAUGAAGUUGGAGUUGCUAGUAACCGCAGGUCAGCAAUACUGCGGUGAAUACGUUCCCGGGGAUUGUACACACCGCCCGUCAAGUCAUGGAAGCUGGCAACACCUGAAGCCGGUAUCCUAACCCGAAAGGGAGGGAGCUGUCGAAGGUGGGGUCGGUGACUGGGACUAAGUCGUAACAAGGUA
RNAcentral lists this ribosomal RNA (1482 nucleotides) under uncultured bacterium. Its description in RNAcentral is "partial 16S ribosomal RNA". It matches the Rfam family "Bacterial small subunit ribosomal RNA". The record is from RNAcentral.